GACGAACGCUGGCGGCGUGCUUAACACAUGCAAGUCGAACGGAAAGGCCCUGCGUUUGCUCGUUUCUCGAUUGGCGAACGCGGGAGUAACACGUGAGUAACCUGCCCUUAUCUUUGUGAUAACUUCACGGAACUGGGGCUAAUAUCGGAUAUGAUCUCCUGCUCCAUGUGGGUGGUUGGAGAGUGUCGGCUGUUGUGGAUCUACUCGCUGCUUACCAGCUGGUUUGUGAGGUAGUGGCGUACCAGGGCUUUGACGGGUAGCCGGCCUGAGAGGGUGACCGGGGACAUUGGGACUGAGAUAGGGCGCAGAAGCGUACGGGAGGCAGCAGUGGGGAAUUUUGCGCAGUGGGCGGGAGCGUGAUGUAGAAGUGUUGCGUGCGGGAAGCCGGCUUAUGGGUUGUAAACAGAUUUGGAAUGUGACGAAGAGUGCGUGACGGUAAUGGGUCAAGAAGCAACGGCUAACUACGUG
Molecule: ribosomal RNA, 468 nt
Filed under: uncultured bacterium
Lineage: Bacteria
Description: partial 16S ribosomal RNA
Rfam family: Bacterial small subunit ribosomal RNA
Source: RNAcentral